This 484-nucleotide ribosomal RNA is filed under the name uncultured bacterium. RNAcentral's name for it is "partial 16S ribosomal RNA". It matches the Rfam family "Bacterial small subunit ribosomal RNA", at positions 899 to 1397 of the family's 1533-position model. The record is from RNAcentral.
ACUCAAAUGAAUAGACGGGGACCCGCACAAGCAGUGGAGCGCCUGGUUUAAUUCGAUGAUCAACGAAGAACCUCACCUGGGCUUGAACUGUAGCUGCAACGCCGAUGAAAGUCGGAAUCCUUCGAGGGUGCUACAGAGGUGGUGCAUGGCUGUCGUCAGCUCGUGUCGUGAGAUGUAGGGUUAAGUCCCACAACGAGCGCAACCCCUAUUCGAUGUUACAAUUACUUCGAACACUGCCUCGCCAAAACGAGGAGGAAGGAGGGGACGACGUCCAGUCAUCAUGUCCCUUAUGUCCAGGGCUACACAGACGCUACAAUGGUUACUACAAUGGGUUGCCAAACCGCGAGGUGGAGCUAAUCUCAUCAAAAGUAACCUCAGUUCAGAUUGUAGGCUGCAACUCGCCUAUAUGAAGUCGGAAUUGCUAGUAAUCGUGUAUCAGCAUGACACGGUGAAUACGUUCUCGGGUCUUGCACACACCGCCCGU